CGGAAGGCGAGAGUCCGCGGGAAAAGCGGUCUUGUUAGGUGAUCACUGUGGUUUGGGGAUGAGGAGGUCUCCUCAGGAGUAACCGCGGGCCUGAGCCACGGUCACGCCACUAUCCUUCGUUUCCUUUAGGCUUCUCGCUCACCAAAAGAUUUUCCCGUCCAGUUAUAAAGUGCAAGUUGUUUCCCAAAGGGAUUACUCUUUGGAUCAACACCUGUAGGAAAUGAGCUGCGCUGCAUCCCAGCCAACCCCACAGCUGAGAUGGAGCAGUAGCAACCAGAUGUACCUUCCCCAGCUGAAACAACCAGAAAGACAAGACAAAAUAGAUGAAAGAAUGGUUCUUGAGACACUGGACACCACACAGUGAAGAACAGCGAUCCCUGGGAGAGGAGAAACAAGAUGCAGUACUCCUGGGAGCUGUGGUUCAGUCGGUGGUGGUAACUGGGGCAUGCCUAGCUGCCCUGAAUGAUUAAGAGCAUAUCUUCCUACCUGGCGUCCACUGUAAGUGAUCAGAACCUGAGGAGCACUAAGCAUAUACCCGUUGACUGACUGGCUCACACUGGGUGCUGUGGAAGGAGCCCAGUGCAUAGCACUGGGAGCCUGGAGGCCUGGGCGGGAGCUCUGGCUCCUGCCCUAGCUUGCUGAAUGGUCUUGACCUCUCUGGGCCUCAGUUUUCUCAUCUGUAAGACAAGGGGAACAGAUCAGACAUUCUGAUUCUUUCUCAUUACUAUGAAAUGUUGGGCCUUCCCAAGCCCCUCUGCCAAGGUCCCAGGCUACAGGAGUAGUUCAGUACUCAGCCACUUCCCAUCGCCUGUUUCCUGGCUUAUGUCUAGCUGACUCUUAUCAUCAUCCUGUGACACUACUUGUCAACACAGGUAAGCAGCGACUUCUACAUCUUAAUGCUUUCUUCUCUUAGGAUAAGAAAGUGGGAUUAGGAAUGAGGUAGCUUCAUGUCCUGUAAAACCACUGCCAAAAUUAUAAAACUUGGAUUUAAUUCAACCAGAAAGAAGGGCCGCUCUGGGAAGCAGCUGAACCACUAGAGCCCCUGGGAACUGGGACGUUUCGGAGGUAAGGAGGCACACUGAGGGGCUCUGCUUUGGAGAAUGCGCCCUGGUCAGUACAGGCUGUGGGGGACUUACUAACUCGUGCUAAGCCUCACAGGAUCCUAGAGGUGAGGGUCCAAUUUAGGAAAGGCAGCUGGAUCCAGAGAAGACGGGUGAGGAACGAGGAGGAGGAGGAACAAGAGAGGCACACAGGAAGAACUGUGGAACUCCCAAUGAGGUAGAAAAACGAGUACCAAGUAUGUGACUCUGCAUUAGAAAGGGAAAUGGGCAGAAGGAAACGAAGAGGUGAUUGAACACCCCUAAAAAUAAACAUUGUCGGUUUAGACAACUAUAAAACACAUCAUAAUUCAGAACCACAUUGCCCAAUACAAGUUCCUGGUCAGUGCAUUCCAGUAUGGAGGUAGUCUAAUUAGAAACUAGAGGGUGGUCCAGUGGUUAAGGCUGCAUGCUUCCACUGCAGGGUGUGUGGGUUCAAUCCCUAGACAGGGAACUAAGAUCCCACAUGCCACAUGGUGCAGCCAAAACCCCAAACUAACACACUACUGUGUUUCUGAAUCAAAGGGAACCCCAGGAGUAAGGCUCCACCUUGUGAGAGCUACUUUCUGGUAGCCUCUCUCCUGUGAGAGCAGGUCUCUGAAACAGGAGGCGGGACCUCAGGGGACA
Long non-coding RNA from Cervus elaphus (red deer), 1724 nucleotides. RefSeq lists it as uncharacterized. The transcript is spliced from 4 exons. The record is from RefSeq and is a predicted model, not a curated record. Lineage: Eukaryota; Metazoa; Chordata; Mammalia; Artiodactyla; Cervidae.